UUCCCUAGCAGAAUGGAAUGACAAUCCCUGCUCCCAUAGGCUUGUGAGGGUCAAGUGAGGAACCCCGUUGCCACAUGUAUGAAUACCUGAGUACACACCCCCUCCACCUCUUCCCUCCAGGAGAAUAAGCUGGCAACCUGGGACAGGAUGAGUGAGAAUGGGGAGCCUCUUUCUGUGGCUUCUGCCUUGUGCUGGAGUGAAGAUAGCCUGGGCAGGAUGCAGGUUCAAAGGCCCGGCAUCAUCCCUUACUGCGCUGCUCCUCAUAGCUGUCCUCCUGGGCCCCAUCUACGUCCCCUGGAAGCAGAAGACCUGACUCUCCUUCCUUCCUCCCCUGCCACGUGGGACCCUCAUCUCUGCUGCCUCCUUCCUUUCCUGAGAGGCUCAGCUUGAGAGAAUGAGCCAGUGAGAAGCUUCUCUAGACUUGG
This 425-nucleotide long non-coding RNA is filed under the name Homo sapiens (human). RNAcentral describes it as "non-protein coding lnc-SIRPG-2:2". The record is from RNAcentral. Lineage: Eukaryota; Metazoa; Chordata; Mammalia; Primates; Hominidae.